UACGUAGGGCGCAAGCGUUGUCCGGAAUUAUUGGGCGUAAAGAGCUCGUAGGCGGCCUGUUGCGUCCGCUGUGAAAUCCCGGGGCUCAACCCCGGCCUGCAGUGGAUACGGGCUGGCUAGAGGCAGGCAGGGGAGAACGGAAUUCCUGGUGUAGGCGGUGGAAAUGCGUAGAUAUCAAGAGGAAUACCUGAGGUGAAGACGGGUGCUAGGCUGACACUGACGCUGAGGCGCGAAAGCCAGGGAGCAAACGGG
This 252-nucleotide ribosomal RNA is filed under the name uncultured bacterium. Its description in RNAcentral is "partial 16S ribosomal RNA". It matches the Rfam family "Bacterial small subunit ribosomal RNA", at positions 524 to 776 of the family's 1533-position model. The record is from RNAcentral.